This 483-nucleotide ribosomal RNA is filed under the name Pseudomonas sp. CL2.78. Its description in RNAcentral is "bacterial SSU rRNA". It matches the Rfam family "Bacterial small subunit ribosomal RNA", at positions 17 to 495 of the family's 1533-position model. The record is from RNAcentral. Lineage: Bacteria; Pseudomonadati; Pseudomonadota; Gammaproteobacteria; Pseudomonadales; Pseudomonadaceae.
CCCUGGCUCAGAUUGAACGCUGGCGGCAGGCCUAACACAUGCAAGUCGAGCGGAUGACAGGAGCUUGCUCCUGAAUUCAGCGGCGGACGGGUGAGUAAUGCCUAGGAAUCUGCCUGGUAGUGGGGGACAACGUUUCGAAAGGAACGCUAAUACCGCAUACGUCCUACGGGAGAAAGCAGGGGACCUUCGGGCCUUGCGCUAUCAGAUGAGCCUAGGUCGGAUUAGCUAGUUGGUGAGGUAAUGGCUCACCAAGGCGACGAUCCGUAACUGGUCUGAGAGGAUGAUCAGUCACACUGGAACUGAGACACGGUCCAGACUCCUACGGGAGGCAGCAGUGGGGAAUAUUGGACAAUGGGCGAAAGCCUGAUCCAGCCAUGCCGCGUGUGUGAAGAAGGUCUUCGGAUUGUAAAGCACUUUAAGUUGGGAGGAAGGGCAUUAACCUAAUACGUUAGUGUUUUGACGUUACCGACAGAAUAAGCACCG